Mesocricetus auratus (golden hamster) is the source of this 307-nucleotide unclassified non-coding RNA. Its record names the gene 7SK. It matches the Rfam family "7SK RNA". Rfam says of the family: 7SK was discovered as an abundant small nuclear RNA in the mid-70s but a possible function has only recently been suggested. Two independent studies have found that 7SK RNA binds the CDK9/cyclin T complex (known as elongation factor P-TEFb). P-TEFb activates transcription by phosphorylating the C-terminal domain of RNA polymerase II. NCBI's taxonomy places the organism in Eukaryota, Metazoa, Chordata, Mammalia, Rodentia, Cricetidae. The record is from Ensembl.
GGAUGUGAGGGUGAUCUGGCUGCGACAUCUGUCACCCCAUUGAUCACCAGGAUUGAUUCAGCUGAUCUGGCUGGCGAGGCGGGUGUCCCCUUCCUCCCUCACCACUCCAUGUGAACUCUGGAAGCUUGGCACUCAGUUGAAGAGGACGACCUUCCCCAAUAGAGGAGGAUCGGUCUUUGGUCAAAGGGUAGCUGUGCUCCCCUGCUAGAACCUCAAAACAAGAUCUCAAAGAAAGCUUUAUGUUCAUAAAAAAGAAGCCAUAGCCAGGCAAAGGAAGGCUAAUAAAUUGAGAACUGGAAAUUGAAUU